UACAGAGGUCUCGAGCGUUAGGCGGAAUCACUGGGCUUAAAGCGUGUGUAGGCGGGUCGUUAAGUACCUUGUGAAAUCCCAUGGCUCAACCAUGGAACUGCUGGGUAUACUGGCGAUCUUGUGCAACCUAGGGGCGAGCGGAACAGAUGGUGGAGCGGUGAAAUGCGUAGAUAUCAUCUGGAACGUCAAUGGUGAAAACAGCUCGCUGGGGGUUUGCAGACGCUGAGACACGAAAGCCAGGGGAGCGAACGGG
Molecule: ribosomal RNA, 253 nt
Filed under: uncultured bacterium
Lineage: Bacteria
Description: partial 16S ribosomal RNA
Rfam family: Bacterial small subunit ribosomal RNA
Source: RNAcentral